RNAcentral lists this ribosomal RNA (488 nucleotides) under uncultured fungus. RNAcentral describes it as "eukaryotic LSU rRNA". The stretch from base 48 to 201 matches the Rfam family "5.8S ribosomal RNA". Lineage: Eukaryota; Fungi. The record is from RNAcentral.
AACUCGCAUGUAUUGAGGACCCUUCAUGUGCGCAAGCACUAAUAUACAACUUUCAACAACGGAUCUCUUGGCUCUCGCAUCGAUGAAGAACGCAGCGAAAUGCGAUAAGUAAUGUGAAUUGCAGAAUUCAGUGAAUCAUCGAAUCUUUGAACGCACCUUGCACCCUUUGGCAUUCCGAAGGGUAUGCUCGUUUGAGUGUCAUUUGCACUCUCACACUCCCAAUUGCUUUGGAUUGGGAGCGGUGGACUUGGGUGCUGCUGCUUGACUGUGGCUCACCUGAAAUAUGUUAGUGCACCUCUUGAUUGGACAUAGUACGGCGUGAUAAGUGUCUUCGCCGGCUCCUCGCAAUGAGGGUGGCCGAUCGGGAGCUCUGUGCUUCAAACUGUCUUCGGACAAUCUUCUGGCGACUUGACCUCAAAUCGAGUAGGACUACCCGCUGAACUUAAGCAUAUCAAUAAGCGGAGGAAAAGAAACUAACAAGGAUUCCC